This 246-nucleotide ribosomal RNA is filed under the name Aporrectodea trapezoides. Its description in RNAcentral is "partial 12S ribosomal RNA". Lineage: Eukaryota; Metazoa; Annelida; Clitellata; Crassiclitellata; Lumbricidae. The record is from RNAcentral.
GUAUGCAAUUAUGACAAACUCAUAUACGUCAGGUCAAAGUGCAGCUUAUGAGAGGGCGACGAUGGGUUACACCCUAUAUAAAGACACGAAAUGUGGCACCAAAAGCCACAUGAAGGUGGACUUGGACGUAAUAAAGAUACAAAAUCAAAAUGAAGAUGAAUCUGAGACAUGCACACAUCGCCCGUCACUCUUGCCCAAAGGUGAGAUAAGUCGUAACAAAGUAGGUGUAACGGAAGUUGCACCUGU